Aedes albopictus (Asian tiger mosquito) is the source of this 47-nucleotide non-coding RNA. The record is from Rfam. NCBI's taxonomy places the organism in Eukaryota, Metazoa, Arthropoda, Insecta, Diptera, Culicidae.
CAAACGGUCCUUAUCAGGGCCACCAAAAAUGAUGCCUCAAAAGUUAU